UGGAUUCUGGCAGGCCCCUUGGGGCCUCGGAGCUCUGCGGCCGACCGGAGGAACCACUGCUGGAGGCUCCCGGCAGAGUAAGGUAAUCCCAAGGCCACAGGGACGUCCCGACACGUGCCAGGAGUCCCUCUCUGUGCCUGGGAGCAGCUCCCCGU
This 155-nucleotide long non-coding RNA is filed under the name Bos mutus (wild yak). Its description in RNAcentral is "lncRNA (ENSBMUG00000000687.1)". The record is from RNAcentral. Lineage: Eukaryota; Metazoa; Chordata; Mammalia; Artiodactyla; Bovidae.